GGCUGCUGUGGCCUAAGUGGUUAGAGCGUCCGCCUCGUAUGCGGAAGGUCACGGGUUCGAACCCGGGUCGAGUCG
Non-coding RNA from Potamilus streckersoni, 75 nucleotides. Lineage: Eukaryota; Metazoa; Mollusca; Bivalvia; Unionida; Unionidae. The record is from the annotation of a GenBank genome assembly.